CUGAGUUACUAAACUCCCAAACCCGUGUGAACCUACCACUGUUGCUUCGGCGGCCACGCCCCGGGAGCCCUGUGCUUCCGGACCCAGGCGUCCGCCGGAGGAUCCAAACUCUUGAUUUUACAGCGUAUCUUCUGAGUAAAUUACAAAAUGAAUCA
Molecule: unclassified non-coding RNA, 155 nt
Filed under: uncultured Cosmospora
Lineage: Eukaryota; Fungi; Ascomycota; Sordariomycetes; Hypocreales; Nectriaceae
Description: sequence contains ITS1
Source: RNAcentral